UACGAAGGGUGCUAGCGUUGUUCGGAAUCACUGGGCGUAAAGCGUGCGUAGGCGGCUUUCCAAGUCAGGGGUGAAAUCCUGGGGCUCAACCCCAGAAUUGCCUUUGAAACUGGAAAGCUAGAGUAUUGGAGGGGAUAGCGGAAUUGCUAAUGUAGAGGUGAAAUUCGUAGAUAUUAGCAGGAACACCGGUGGCGAAGGCGGCUAUCUGGACAAUUACUGACGCUCUGGCACGAAAGUGUGGGGAUCAAACAGG
RNAcentral lists this ribosomal RNA (253 nucleotides) under Alphaproteobacteria bacterium. RNAcentral describes it as "partial 16S ribosomal RNA". It matches the Rfam family "Bacterial small subunit ribosomal RNA", at positions 524 to 776 of the family's 1533-position model. The record is from RNAcentral. Lineage: Bacteria; Pseudomonadati; Pseudomonadota; Alphaproteobacteria. RNAcentral also lists the same sequence under 1 other name.